GGCCAUAUCACAUUGAUAAACUGGUUCUCGUACGAUCAUUGAAGUUAAGCAACGUCGAGACUGGUCCGUACCUAGAUGGGUGACUGCUUGGGAACACCAGGUUCUGUAAG
Molecule: non-coding RNA, 110 nt
Organism: Acanthosepion pharaonis
Lineage: Eukaryota; Metazoa; Mollusca; Cephalopoda; Sepiida; Sepiidae
Source: the annotation of a GenBank genome assembly